GCAGAGGCGAAGCGUUGUGGCUGAGCGUAGUUCCGUGUUUCCUUGUAGGACCAGCGGCGGGAAUCUUCCUCGCUACAAAAUAACCACCUUCUUACUCCAGGUUGUUUGUCUGAUAAUGGGGUGAGCUGAAAUGGAUGCUGUAUUCAUUGCAGACGUGCAUCACAGGGCCUGUCUUGUGAGACAAGGAAACAUUCCUGCUGAGAAAGCCCUUGUGGCUAGAUCCAAAGUCUACGUAGUUUUCAAGAGUGUGUUUGUAACAGAAAUGUGAAUAAGGUUGAACGGCUUCAACUACCUAAUGUAAGAUUAUCUUUGCAAAUGUGCCAUCAUAUAGCAAUAGAACAGUUCUGCCUAUCGUAUUCCCUCUCAGCCUUGUGUUUGCAAUGCACAAUUGUAGGUGGAGAGAAGACGUCUCUUCCAUAGGACCACAGCUCAGCACCAGCUCCCUGCCUCUUGCACGUGAAGAGAGGCGAGGGUUCAGUCUGGGAAUACACACAUUGCAGUAUCAUAGCAGCAAAGCAGGAAACUGAAUGAUCUGUGGGCUUUUAAUUGCUGAUUUAGAAAAACUAUAAGCAGAAUGAAGCAGCACUAGGGAAUUGGUAUUUACUGUGUAAAAGUUUCUUAGAACCUGGACAGGUUCAAACAGGGGCAUAUAAUGGAGAAGUGUACAGAUGUUUAGACCUUUUUUAGAAAUUAAAGAUCCAGAAAAUAUGCUAUGUUCAGACUGUCAGUUCAGCUAGAAAAAAAAAGUAUAUUAAGAAAUGAAUUAAAGGAAAUAAAUGUUACAAGAAAAUAAGAAAUGCUUUUAUUGUGUUGCUUUUUUUUAUUGUGCUCUCCAGGUGAG
Molecule: long non-coding RNA, 841 nt
Filed under: Gallus gallus (chicken)
Lineage: Eukaryota; Metazoa; Chordata; Aves; Galliformes; Phasianidae
Source: RNAcentral